Long non-coding RNA from Labrus mixtus (cuckoo wrasse), 2032 nucleotides. RefSeq lists it as uncharacterized. NCBI's taxonomy places the organism in Eukaryota, Metazoa, Chordata, Actinopteri, Labriformes, Labridae. The transcript has 4 exons. The record is from RefSeq and is a predicted model, not a curated record.
CAAUUCAUCCCAAUUAAAUUCAUUUAAUCUUAUUAAAGUGUUCGAUGUUCAAUACAGAGACGUGUUAUCUUGAGUUUUUAAAUUUAUCAUAUCAUCUUAAGAACUCAAAUCUAUUGUCUUUAGAAGACGUUUAUGUUUUUUGAAAAUACAAAAGUUGUUAGCAAAGUUAAAUAUUUGAUUAACGUCUGGUUCCUGUUCAUCAGAUUGUACAGGUUCUUGUGAUCUGGACUUGGUCAUGUUGGCUCUGCGUGUGGCUGAACUCCUCCUGAUUACUGUGAUCACUGUUCUUCUCUUCAGAGCUCGAGGGAACCAGAGACCACCUGAUGACAUCACUGUGUAUUAUGAUGGAGAUGAAGGCUCAGUGAACUAUGAAAAUGAUGGAGAACCUUUUGCUUCUGUCAGACUCCACUGAUCAACAACUUCCACACAAACAUCCACUCAGCAGAUACAUUAAUCCACCGCUUUUAAUCAUUUCAAUAAAAGGGAUCUAUUAUGCAGAUCCACAUUUAAAAACAUAUAUAUAAUGUUACCAUGUUGGAUGUCCAUACUAAGCCUCAGCAAAGUUUUUUCAAACAGAAGAUAAAUGGAUGUUGGUGUAAUCCCCGUAUGUGGAUUCCUGCUGCUCUGACCGAGACGUUACAAGGACGUCAUAAACCUUCAUGUGUUUACACAUGUUUAUUGUUUUGACCAGGGAUGUACUGCUGGUGAUGAAACACACAUUCUUACCAAACGACUUCCCCUUCACUUCUCAAGAAAAGUCUCAACAUUAGGUGUCAACACAUCUCAGAGCACUAAAAUAACAUGUGAUCUCUGAUCUCUCAAACAUGACGGACAUUCAGAGUUGUAUUCAGGAGGACGAGGAGUUUGACCCUCCUUUUGUUGUUCACUGUUGAUGUCAGACAUGAUGAUUAAACCCUCGCGCACUUGACGAUUCAACAGUGCGACGGCCAUAAGCCCUCACAGACAAUCACCUGAGAGUUGUUUCCCUCGAUCCUCGCUUCCUUGGUGCCAAAAUAAGAGACUUGAGACGUCCUUCAUCAUGGCGGCAGAAAACGCCAUCCAGUUCAAGAGAGGAUCUAGGAGCAAGAAAUGAGAUAUAAGAUACAUGAGAAGCAGCCUCCGUCAAUCUGCUGCGACCUCUGACCUCUGACCUCUUUACUUAUCGAUGCAGCUCAUCUUAAUGAUCAUCAGUUUAUGAUCACUUAAACAUGUUACAUCAUGUUUUAAUAACUAUGAGACAUUCAUAGAAAUGAACACUUAAAGCAGGUUUGAAGUCAAAAUGAGGAAGUGAUGACAUACUAAGAAAGGGAAGUAGAUGCAGCGUCUCUUUAAAGAAGCACUACUGAAGAAACUCAGACAGUUAGGAGCGUGACAACGGGAGGACAGAGACGGAGAAUCACCAUGAACGAGCUCAAAUGGAUUCAAACUUCUUUACUUCUCACAGCGCUGCUUCAGUUUGCUGCAGCAGCUGUAAUUAAAGAAGUCACAUUCAGAGUUGGAGAGGACGCCACGUUGUCUUGUGAAAAUGUACAAGGUCAACAGAAGUGUGAAUAUACGACAUGGCUCUUUGUUGAUUCAGGAAACAGAGCAGACCUGGUUGUAGAUGGUCAGGUUAGAAACUCUGGAGUUAAAUCAGACCGACUGAGAGUUACAGAGGACUGUUCUCUGGUUAUAAAGAACAUCACAGAGGAGGAUGAUGGACGUUAUGUCUGUCUACAGGACAUAUCAGGAAGAAGAAUAACAAGCGAUGUGACUCGAGUUCAUCUAUCUGUUAUCAAGAGUAAGUAUUUCAAUCAUAAUCUUUUCAAACAAAACUUUUCUAAUUCAAACAAUAAACUGAAACAUUACAAUAAUUAUAAAGACUCUGAUGAAGUUAAUUUGUCUCUUGUUGUGUUUCUCUUAUAAUAUCUCCAUCCUUACUUUGGACUGGAAAUACUUCAAAUAUUAAAACUUUUUUUUGGAUUUGAAGUUUGAAUUUAUAUUAAAACACAAGUUUAGUGCUGAACAGUUUGUUGAGUUGUGUUUAUCUCUG